RNAcentral lists this ribosomal RNA (247 nucleotides) under uncultured bacterium. RNAcentral's name for it is "partial 16S ribosomal RNA". It matches the Rfam family "Bacterial small subunit ribosomal RNA", at positions 86 to 334 of the family's 1533-position model. The record is from RNAcentral.
UAGAUGGCGCCGGCGCACGGGUGAGUAACACGUAUCCAACCUGCCGAUAACUCGGGGAUAGCCUUUCGAAAGAAAGAUUAAUACCCGAUGGUAUAAUAAAACCGCAUGGUUUAAUUAUUAAAGAAUUUCGGUUAUCGAUGGGGAUGCGUUCCAUUAGGCAGUUGGUGAGGUAACAGCUCACCAAACCUUCGAUGGAUAGGGGUUCUGAGAGGAAGGUCCCCCACAUUGGAACUGAGACACGGUCCAA